UAAAGGUAAUUGUCUAUUAUACCCUUCGUUUCGUUUAGUAGAGAUCAGAAAAUCAAAUCUCUUUUUCUCACCAUAAAACCAAACCCUCAUACGUUUCCCUCUAUUCUCCGAUGGUUCUUCCCAGACUGAAACCUGACCACCAUUUGUCUCUGUACGAUAUUGUCUCCCUAAACCUUCUCCUCCUGAUGCAGUCUGCAACGUGUUUUGAACAAGAAAUCACGAUGUUCAGCCAAGUAAAAGAAAGUGCUUUGUAGACGGCCUUCUCUGGCGAACGUGAUUUUUCUCCGGCAAAUAUCUGGUUCGUGUUUAGAGUUUUUCCGGUUGCUGUGUAUCUUGAUGGUACCUUCGUAAGAGAAGAGAUGGAGGGAGAUAAAGUGAACCUAUAUAAGUAAACCUUAGUUAUUUAUUGGGCCAUUGAGUUUUCCUGGGUUUUUUAAUUUUUGGUGGUAUGACAGGAAAGAGAAGGAGAUGGAGACGAAACGGAGAUAAACUAAGUAGGGUCCAUUUUUUUUAUAAAACAGGGGCAUAAUUGUCAAUUUACAUAAGAAAUCUGUGGAAAUAUUAAAAAAGUGUACGUGGAUAUAUCAGCUCCCAUAGAAAAUGGGUGGACUAAAAUGUAGAUAAUGAAUAUAUUUAGGUGGUGGGGAGAUGGAUAACAAAUUAAUGGUCACAAAAAGAGCAUCCCAAAUUUAGUAAAUACGAUUGGUUUUCGAUCAUCACCUCAAUCUCAAUCUCACUAUCUGCUCUCUUUCUUUUUUCCAUUCCUCUUUUUUUUUCUUCAAUUCCUUCAUGUCUACACUGCCCUCUCUCUUAUUAGCAAAACUUCGAUACCAAUUAAAGACAGGGAACCAAGAUACUACUAUGUCACUUGCCCAAUUCUCCUCGCUUUCUUCUUUAACCUUUCUACUACCGCCUACGCCCACCACUCGAGUCCUUCCGAUCCAUUGUUUCCAUACUCGACCAUCCACCUCCACCAGUGCAACAACCUUAAGCAACAUAGUAAAUUAUGGUGUCAUUGCUUGUCUUCGCGCCAAAAGCGCGGAUGUGGCAUUUGAAGCUGCAAAGGCUGCAAUUAUGGGUGGAAUAUCGGUUCUGGAGAUUGUGGUUUCUACCCCAGGUGUUUUUGAGGUUUUACAUCAACUGGUGCAAGAUUUUCCAACCAUAACUCUAGGGAUUGGCACUGUUUUAAAUAUUGAGGAUGCUGAAAAUGCAAAAAAAGCUGGUGCAAAAUUCAUCAUGAGUCCUGCAAUUGUGAAGGGUAUUCUGGAUGAAGAUAAUGAUGAUUUGCUAUAUAUACCUGGUGUAAUGACCCCAACAGAAAUACUUUCAUCAUAUAAUGCUGGUGCCAAAAUGGUGAAGGUAUACCCUGUUUCUGUACUUGGUGGUUUUGGAUACAUAGCAACUUUGAAGAAGCCUUUUCCUCAUAUUCCUUUAAUUGCAUCUCAAGGAAUAACAACUGAUUUAGUUGGUGAAUAUAUUGGUGAGGGAGCAUCAGCUGUUGUUCUAUCUGAUGCUAUUUUUGAGAAAGAGGCAAUGACUCAAAGAAACUUCACUGCAAUUUAUCAACUUGCAAAACUUGCAGCUUCACAAGGCAAUGAAGCUGUAGAAAGGAAACAUGAGAGCAUACAAAAAAUGCAAGAGACUAGACAUUACAAUUUCGAAACUAAAAGUGCCCCUGAAUAAACAUUACAAAACUAUCGAAACUAUUCAUUGACCUUCGACACCUCACAACUAAUUUCGACAUCAACAUUCUCCACCUUUGUGAGAAGUGUCAAAAUCAGGUCAUCAGCAUCUGAAUAGCUUGGUGCAUCGGUCUCCGAAUCUCAAAGUACCAAUUCAUCACAUUCUUCAGCCUAACUUUAUCUCCAUCAUUGUUUUUCUUACAACUAUUCAUACGAACAAGUAAAUUCGUAUAAUCAGUAGUUGUAUAUCUUUCAACGUCGCAAGCUUGGAAUAAAAACUUUGUAUUCUUUCCCUUUUUACUUUUUCCAACGAAAACAAUUCCUAGAGGCUUCAAACAUAUUUCCCCAUCAACACACUUCUUCAAAUUAGCUUGGCUUUUUAACAAUGACUGAUGCACUGUUAUUUCCUUUCCCAUUGCUAAAGCCAAUUCAACAUCAGUUAAGGCUAAGCAGUCAUAGUAGUUGUCUAUGAAGAGUUUGAUGUGUGCAAGACCCAGCGGAUAUUCAUCUUUACUUGUACCUUGAAGCUUCAUAGCAUCAAUGCCUUUGAGAAUUCUUGCCAGUUGAAUUAGAUCAUUCAGAUUCAUAAGAGGGAAAUUAGCUACUGAAAAGUCAAACGUGGUGUUGUCAACUCUGACCACAUGAUAACAAAAAUUUUGUAGAACAUCCUCAAAGAAAACAUCUUUAGAUAUGUUAAGUACUCGGACAAUCUUCACAAGAGACCAGAAUUCUUCUAGUUCCUUUCCAAGUACAACAAGAAAUCUAAGCUUCAGAUGCUUGAAUUCCUCUUUGUUUUCAAACUUGUCAACAAUCUGAUGCUGAGCAUUGAUAAACAUCAUUUCAUUGAUCGAAAAAUCCAGCUGAUUCGUAUAAGAGUUCUCAAUUGCAUAACUCUUCUUUGGUUUCUUUUCGAAAUCAUGCAUUUUUCCAUAUACCUUAUGUCUGUGCGUCAUUUGUAGAAGUUUAAAAAAACACGCUUAAAAAAAUCUCUCAUCGUUAUUUCUUCUUGUGUCGUUCUUCUUCACCAAAGCAAGCUUCCUCUCUUGUUGCUCCACUUCCACGUCACUCCUGACAAACGACCACCGCCGACGACUACUAUUCAGUUGUCGAUGACUAGUAGUCAGCUGUUGACGACUGCUGCCCCGUUGCCUCAUGUUAGUUUGUUCCAUUUUCUCGGUGUUAAAUUUAGAUCAUAUUGUGAUUGUUACUGAAAUUGGUUAAGUCUUUUAUGAAAUCGACUCAUUUUUAGUAAAAUCGAUUCACACUCUACUGGAAUUGGCUCUCUUCUUUCCGUAUACAUCACAAGAACCAUGUUUUCAUAUCACAGUUCCAUAGAUGUAGCUAGAAUUUUGGUUGAAAUUAUGGCCGAGUUCAAAUAAAGUUUAUUCCUUUACACAUUGCUCGUUUUGAUUUCUUCUUAGUUUGCAUAUCUUUUUAGCGGAUAAAAUAUUAGGUUUAAAAUAUGAUUUCAUGUCAGACAUAUUGGUGAUUAGAUUGUUUGGUGGUAGGCUUUUAAUAACAUAAAAUAACAAAAGGAUAUGCUUCGAUCUUAAUGUUGGAUACACACUCCCUCUUUGGGCCUUAGGGCUUCGAUAGCCCAUAGAUACUUACUCAAAUAAAAGCCCAAAAGAGAAAUCUUUAUAGUGUAUGUGGACUAUAAAUAUAAGCCAACGCAAAGAACAGAGAGUAUCGUCUUAUGCACUUGAUAAAGUAUACGAUCUCCUGUGCGAACAAACUAGCCCUAGGUUAAAAUUGGACAACGAGAUUUCAUCAAAUUCAGAAAGUUUGUCAGUGGAACUUUUUAAUUCUUCAUGGGAAAGAGAAAGGAGCGUAGACUGGCGGCGAAGACUGCAGUUAAUAGAAGAGUAAAACUCGAUCUUAUGGCGGAACCCUCUGGUAAUCGUGUCGAGAUUUUGGUGAUCAUUGUAUUGGUUGAUGUUUACUUUAAGCAAGCCAUGUUUGGUCUCCCAAGAUAUUCCUUUCAGAAUAGAACCAGUUCCCUCGGCAAUCAUGGCGCUUCAUUUAAUCAAUCUCUCGAACCUCGACGACCAAACUAGUCUCCUCAGCAACGCUCUCGAUUCCUUUUUUUAAUCUAUAUUAAUUACUUUGUAAAGUGUAAUUGCGUAAUUAUUCUCAUUAGUUGAUUUCAGUAUCGUAAAGUAAAACAACUCCAAUUUUGGAUUACCAA
Non-coding RNA from Lactuca sativa (garden lettuce), 3870 nucleotides. NCBI's taxonomy places the organism in Eukaryota, Viridiplantae, Streptophyta, Magnoliopsida, Asterales, Asteraceae. The record is from RefSeq and is a predicted model, not a curated record.